UACGAAGGGGGCUAGCGUUGUUCGGAAUCACUGGGCGUAAAGCGCACGUAGGCGGAUUUUUAAGUCAGGGGUGAAAUCCCGAGGCUCAACCUCGGAACUGCCUUUGAUACUGGAGAUCUUGAGUCCGGAAGAGGUAAGUGGAACUGCGAGUGUAGAGGUGAAAUUCGUAGAUAUUCGCAAGGACACCAGUGGCGAAGGCGGCUUACUGGUCCGGAACUGACGCUGAGGUGCGAAAGCGUGGGGAGCAAACAGG
This 253-nucleotide ribosomal RNA is filed under the name uncultured bacterium. RNAcentral describes it as "partial 16S ribosomal RNA". It matches the Rfam family "Bacterial small subunit ribosomal RNA", at positions 524 to 776 of the family's 1533-position model. The record is from RNAcentral.